GAUGAACGCUGGCGGCGUGCCUAAUACAUGCAAGUCGAGCGAACAGACAAGGAGCUUGCUCCUUUGACGUUAGCGGCAGACGGGUGAGUAACACGUGGGUAACCUACCUAUAAGACUGGGAUAACUUCGGGAAACCGGAGCUAAUACCGGAUAAUAUUUCGAACCGCAUGGUUCGAUAGUGAAAGAUGGUUUUGCUAUCACUUAUAGAUGGACCCGCGCCGUAUUAGCUAGUUGGUAAGGUAACGGCUUACCAAGGCGACGAUACGUAGCCGACCUGAGAGGGUGAUCGGCCACACUGGAACUGAGACACGGUCCAGACUCCUACGGGAGGCAGCAGUAGGGAAUCUUCCGCAAUGGGCGAAAGCCUGACGGAGCAACGCCGCGUGAGUGAUGAAGGUCUUCGGAUCGUAAAACUCUGUUAUUAGGGAAGAACAUACGUGUAAGUAACUAUGCACGUCUUGACGGUACCUAAUCAGAAAGCCACGGCUAACUACGUGCCAGCAGCCGCGGUAAUACGUAGGUGGCAAGCGUUAUCCGGAAUUAUUGGGCGUAAAGCGCGCGUAGGCGGUUUUUUAAGUCUGAUGUGAAAGCCCACGGCUCAACCGUGGAGGGUCAUUGGAAACUGUAAAACUUGAGUGCAGAAGAGGAAAGUGGAAUUCCAUGUGUAGCGGUGAAAUGCGCAGAGAUAUGGAGGAACACCAGUGGCGAAGGCGACUUUCUGGUCUGUAACUGACGCUGAUGUGCGAAAGCGUGGGGAUCAAACAGGAUUAGAUACCCUGGUAGUCCACGCCGUAAACGAUGAGUGCUAAGUGUUAGGGGGUUUCCGCCCCUUAGUGCUGCAGCUAACGCAUUAAGCACUCCGCCUGGGGAGUACGACCGCAAGGUUGAAACUCAAAGGAAUUGACGGGGACCCGCACAAGCGGUGGAGCAUGUGGUUUAAUUCGAAGCAACGCGAAGAACCUUACCAAAUCUUGACAUCCUUUGACAACUCUAGAGAUAGAGCCUUCCCCUUCGGGGGACAAAGUGACAGGUGGUGCAUGGUUGUCGUCAGCUCGUGUCGUGAGAUGUUGGGUUAAGUCCCGCAACGAGCGCAACCCUUAAGCUUAGUUGCCAUCAUUAAGUUGGGCACUCUAAGUUGACUGCCGGUGACAAACCGGAGGAAGGUGGGGAUGACGUCAAAUCAUCAUGCCCCUUAUGAUUUGGGCUACACACGUGCUACAAUGGACAAUACAAAGGGCAGCGAAACCGCGAGGUCAAGCAAAUCCCAUAAAGUUGUUCUCAGUUCGGAUUGUAGUCUGCAACUCGACUACAUGAAGCUGGAAUCGCUAGUAAUCGUAGAUCAGCAUGCUACGGUGAAUACGUUCCCGGGUCC
RNAcentral lists this ribosomal RNA (1372 nucleotides) under uncultured bacterium. RNAcentral describes it as "bacterial SSU rRNA". It matches the Rfam family "Bacterial small subunit ribosomal RNA", at positions 28 to 1381 of the family's 1533-position model. The record is from RNAcentral.